This 816-nucleotide small RNA is filed under the name Arabidopsis thaliana (thale cress). RNAcentral's name for it is "ATSL245560". The record is from RNAcentral. Lineage: Eukaryota; Viridiplantae; Streptophyta; Magnoliopsida; Brassicales; Brassicaceae.
UAUUUAUUAUCAUUUGAAGACAAUUCACGAUUAGCAAUAUCAUAUAAAUAUAUAUGCGUAACGGUAAUAAUAUAUACGUACACGGUAGUAAUGUGUACGUACACGGUAGUAAUGUGUACGUACACGGUAGUAAUGUAUGUAGUAAUGUGUGUGUACGUAUACCGUAAAUUACAUAUACGUACAAUUUUUUUUUAAUGAAGGGUAUAAUUGUAAUUUUGCACUCGUCUUCAACCUCUGCAACCCUAAUUUUGCAGCCGCUUGUUAACUCAUUAACAUCCAAAACUCCUCGCCGCCGACUACUCUUCUUCAUCUCCGCCAUUUGAGUAUGAACAAUAAUUCAAGAAACCAGAAAAUCCUCUUUUUGUUAUACUUUAUCACGAGCUCGAUCGAAAUUUUCUCAACUUAAGCAACGACUAGAACUCGCACAGAGCCUCAAUCGAAAUUUCACUUUCGAUCGGAGUUUGUGUUUCGUCGGAAUUGUUCUUCGUCUUCGACAAACAGUUUUUGAUUUCCUUUGGUUGUCAGAAAGUUAAUAACGUGUUUUUGAUUUAAUUUUAAAUUUAAAUUUUGGUAACCAGAAAAAUAAAGAAACGAAACUGAACCGCCUCCUUUCAUUUCUCGUUCCAGGGCAAAUUUGUCCAUUUUUGGCUGAAUGGCUAAAAUCUGGCUGGACCAGUCCACUUUGUCUAUUUGUGGAAAAAAAAGUCAGAAAGGUGUCCACGGUGAAAAUUUCUUUUCUUUUUAAGCCCUCGAAAUUUUAUUCCUUUUAAUAUAUGACCAUUAAAAAUAUAUUUACCGUAUCAGCCCCUGUUACAC